AGAAUAAAAAAAAUGAAAUUAACAAAAGAGUAGAGCGGAGAGCAAAAAAAAAAAGUGUGACAAAGGGGUAAGAAGUAGAAAUGCGAAGCAGCAGCUGUGGAAAAAGGAGAGAGAGAGAGAGAGAGAGGGAGAGAGAGAAGCUGGACGUCAACAUAAAUUUGCUUCUUUAUGCAUGCCCAUGUCGCGGUGGUGGACAAAUCCAACCAAAGAAGGUUUCUCUCUGUCUGUCUUCAAGGUCUUGGUUGGCUUCUUUAUGAUAGCGGCGAUGAUGACGAAGAAAGAGCCAAAUUGAAUAAAUUGGUCGCAUUUGUGUCAGGGAUGAGAAGAAGAGCAAAAUUGAAGAAACUAGAGGCGUUCGUGUGAAAAGGGAGAGAUCGGUUCGUGUGCUGACGUUCUAGGGU
Long non-coding RNA from Morus notabilis, 401 nucleotides. RefSeq lists it as uncharacterized. The record is from RefSeq and is a predicted model, not a curated record. The transcript is spliced from 3 exons. Lineage: Eukaryota; Viridiplantae; Streptophyta; Magnoliopsida; Rosales; Moraceae.